AAUAGAUACCCUGGUAGUCCACGCCGUAAACGUUGGGCGCUAGAUGUGGGGACCUUUCCACGGUUUCCGUGUCGUAGCUAACGCAUUAAGCGCCCCGCCUGGGGAGUACGGCCGCAAGGCUAAAACUCAAAGGAAUUGACGGGGGCCCGCACAAGCGGCGGAGCAUGCGGAUUAAUUCGAUGCAACGCGAAGAACCUUACCAAGGCUUGACAUACACGAGAACGGGCCAGAAAUGGUCAACUCUUUGGACACUCGUGAACAGGUGGUGCAUGGUUGUCGUCAGCUCGUGUCGUGAGAUGUUGGGUUAAGUCCCGCAACGAGCGCAACCCUCGUCGCAUGUUGCCAGCACGUUAUGGUGGGGACUCAUGUGAGACUGCCGGGGUCAACUCGGAGGAAGGUGGGGAUGACGUCAAAUCAUCAUGCCCCUUAUGUCUUGGGCUUCACGCAUGCUACAAUGGCCGGUACAAAGGGCUGCGAUGUCGUAAGGCGGAGCGAAUCCCAAAAAGCCGGUCUCAGUUCGGA
This 522-nucleotide ribosomal RNA is filed under the name uncultured bacterium. RNAcentral describes it as "bacterial SSU rRNA". It matches the Rfam family "Bacterial small subunit ribosomal RNA", at positions 777 to 1297 of the family's 1533-position model. The record is from RNAcentral.